AAACAAAUGGAUGUUUUCAUAUGUAAGAAAUGUACUGAUGUGAUAAAAGAGCAAAAUGUCAAUGUCAAAGCUUUUCCCUCUUUUCCACCAGGAUUUCAAACUAUCUGUAAAAUGAACCCUCUCCACUAGAAAACAUCAUCCAAAGACAAGCUGUUAUUGUCUUGGUGAAGCACAUAUCCUUUAUCAGUCCUUGUAUAAGUUGGAAAUAAAGUGAUUAGAGAUAGUCAGGAAGAAGAAAAACAAACAAUUAUUAUGCUGCAACAUUAAAUUGAAAAUCUCCCUGAGUUAUUGGACAAAAUCAGUAACGAAAUGUCAUAGGCAGUGACAAGAGAGAUCUCAUUUUCUGGCUGUCAUAUUUUAGGGGGUUGAGGGCUGCGGUUGUCAGUAAAGCAGCGACAAAGAAAAAUGAUCUGUCUUUGCAGUAAGUGGCUCGGAGUGGCUAUGACGCAGGUUCCAAAGGGAGAAAGAAAGAAAAUCAUUGCCUAAGUCAAUGUGAGUGUCCCUGGGUGAGUGAAGGAGUCAAAUAACAUUAACAGAAUACUUUCCUAUUGCUUCUGCAUGUCUCUUUCAACCUCUAGAACAAAGUUCUUUAUCUUUAACACCAUGAGCCCAUUUAAAACCAGGGAGUUAAGAAGACUUCCAAUGAUUGACUUUGAGGGAUAUAACUGAUUCCACCUCAUUUUUCUACUUGGCUGGCUCUAGACCCAAAUGAGACUGUCUUCUCUCCAACAACACUUCCUGGUAUAGGGGAUGAACAAUGUUGUUUUAGAAUAAUAUAGUAAAAUGUCAGAAAGUGACUAAAUACCAUGUGCAAUUUUUCUUCUUCUUCUUCUUCUUCUUUUUUUUUUUUUUCUAACACACUAACUCCCAGCAUCCCUGACUCAUCCUCUGGCUCGCGUGCAAAUGGGUGUACAGAAUUCAGUCACUUAAUAUCUAUACAAGUCAAAUAAUUAAUUUUUAGGUUUUAGCUUCUGUUUCGUCCUUACCAGUCACACUGGAAAUCGUCACUGUGCUGACUGGGAGAGGGUCUCCGCUUGGGAAGGCAGGAGCCAUUGAUAAUGUCCUCCAGAUUUACACUUUCGGAAAUUCCUCAGAGACACUCUUCUCUCAGACGAAUCCAUCAACUAGAAAACCAGUGCCCAGUGUCUUCUGAGGUGAGGCAGGACAUUUGUACCAGCGGAGGCAAGCAUAAGGCUGACCUCCCUUCUGCCCAUCUCUUUUUCCAUUAUAUUACUCCUUUGUGCAAGAAGGUGGUGACACUGUCUGUCUUCUCGUUCAUCUUCUGUCUCUUCACAGUCUGAUUACUCAUUUCCCCUCAGCUUUGAACCAUCUCAUCAUAAGCCAGGCUUGCACCUCCCGCUGCAUUUGCUUAAGAAAGCAUAAUAAUGAUGAUAAUAAGAACGCUUAAAAUGGCAUAUCCACUGUCAUAUCCAUUGGUAGCUAUCUCUCUCACUGUUGGAGAAAUGGCAGCUAUGAAGAAAGGCUGUCUUCCUAGGCCCGUUUAAAAAAUCUGCUCCAUCCUAUUUCUAGGCAUUGACUUUACUAUCAAAGUAUCCUUUGCUGAACUUAAUCGUUUUCAAUACUCAUGAAGCUUUCAAGGAAGAGUGGGCUGAACUAACUUGGAAACUCUCCUGGUGUGAAUGAGCCGUCUGCAGCAGAACAUUUUCAAAAAUUAAAUGCACUUGAAAUGCACCUGAAAGCCUAAAUGAGUAAAGGUGGUAAGAACUGCAGCAAAGAGCAUCUUCAUGGAAGUUACAUGAUCGACAAAUCGCAAGAAUACAUUUUUGAAGCAUUUGGCCUACACUCCAAUAGCCUGGGUUGAUUAGAACAAAAUUUAAUUUGCGAUAAUCAGCUGGUGGCAAGGAGAGCAUGAAAUUAUGUUGGUGCGUUAGUUUUUGCACUUUGCAGUGUAUUUCCUUAUAAAUCAGUAUUUUUAAACUUAUCUUUGGGUUACAGAACAUAUAGCACAGCAAACUUUUUUUUAAAAAUCACUUUUAAUAAAAGUGUGUGAGAGACGGCUAAAUGUUAACAGAGCAAACACUGUCUUCCUCAGGGCAUCUCGCCCAAGGUUAAGGCAUAAUUCAAGGUGUUUUACUUCACUGGGUCAAGUGGUCUGCCAUGAAUUUCUGAAGACGAUGAAAGACGAAUUUGCACCUCUUAGCAAAACCUCCAUAAUACAAGAUCUAUAGCAGUCUCUACUGGCACUAAUUUCUUUCAAACCUCGGAUCUGUGGAUUCCAGUUAAUUUGCAGAGUUGCUCCAUCACGACCUGCGGCCUUGUGUGUCAGCAGGUUUGGCAGCAGACGAUUCCUUCUUACUUGGU
Molecule: long non-coding RNA, 2322 nt
Organism: Physeter macrocephalus (sperm whale)
Lineage: Eukaryota; Metazoa; Chordata; Mammalia; Artiodactyla; Physeteridae
Exons: 4
Source: RefSeq, a predicted model, not a curated record